RNAcentral lists this transfer RNA (74 nucleotides) under Nanobdellota archaeon. Its description in RNAcentral is "tRNA-Arg". It matches the Rfam family "tRNA". Rfam says of the family: Transfer RNA (tRNA) molecules are approximately 80 nucleotides in length. Their secondary structure includes four short double-helical elements and three loops (D, anti-codon, and T loops). Further hydrogen bonds mediate the characteristic L-shaped molecular structure. tRNAs have two regions of fundamental functional importance: the anti-codon, which is responsible for specific mRNA codon recognition, and the 3' end, to which the tRNAs corresponding amino acid is attached (by aminoacyl-tRNA synthetases). tRNAs cope with the degeneracy of the genetic code in two manners: having more than one tRNA (with a specific anti-codon) for a particular amino acid; and 'wobble' base-pairing, i.e. permitting non-standard base-pairing at the 3rd anti-codon position. Lineage: Archaea; Nanobdellati; Nanobdellota. The record is from RNAcentral.
GCCCGUAUGGUGUAGCCUGGAUAGCAUAUGAGCUUGCGGAGCUUACGACCCGAGUCCGAAUCUCGGUACGGGCA